AUGGCACGCUGCAUGCUCAAGGCAAAGCAGGUGCCGAGCACGUAUUGGGGGAAGGCCGUGCUCACGGCCGUCUUCAUCCUCAACCGCUCCUUCACAAGGAGUGUCGAUGGAAAAACGCCUUACGAGGCGUGGUAUGGGAGGAAACCCGAUGUACGCUUCCUCCGCACCUUUGGCUGCGUCGGGCACGUCAAGAUGACGCGCCCACAGCUGAAGAAGCUCGACGACAGGAGCACCCCAAUGGUGUUCAUGGGCUACGAGACGGGCUCUAAGGCGUACAAGAUGUACGACCCCGUCUCAAAGCGUGUGCAUGUCUCGCGCGAUGCCAUCUUCGAGAAGACGCGCGAUGGACUUGGGAGGCGUUGGGGGAGGCCCCGGCAAGCAGCUCCUUCACCGUGGAGUACCCGAUGUACUCUAGGACCCCGGGAAAUAAGACCCCAGGAAGUUCCACCCCAGGAAGCCUGGGAAGUGUGGAUCCGGGAACCGCAACCCCGAGAACACCGUCCCCGGACACCCCGGCGUCAAGCAAGGUGGGUCCCGGGAGGCAGUUCGCAACCUCGCCAACGGUGA
This 567-nucleotide ribosomal RNA is filed under the name Triticum aestivum (bread wheat). Its description in RNAcentral is "partial small subunit ribosomal RNA". The record is from RNAcentral. Lineage: Eukaryota; Viridiplantae; Streptophyta; Magnoliopsida; Poales; Poaceae.